This 253-nucleotide ribosomal RNA is filed under the name uncultured bacterium. RNAcentral describes it as "partial 16S ribosomal RNA". It matches the Rfam family "Bacterial small subunit ribosomal RNA", at positions 524 to 776 of the family's 1533-position model. RNAcentral also lists the same sequence under 1 other name. The record is from RNAcentral.
UACGUAGGGGUCGAGCGUUGUCCGGAGUUACUGGGCGUAAAGCGUGCGCAGGUGGCUCAUUGCGCCCGGCGUGAAAGCCCCCGGCUCAACCGGGGAGGGUCGUCGGGGACGGGUGAGCUUGAGGGUAUCAGGGGCUGGUGGAACUCCCGGUGUAGUGGUGAAAUGCGUAGAGAUCGGGAAGAACACCCGUGGCGAAGGCGGCCAGCUGGGAUACACCUGACACUGAGGCACGAAGGCGUGGGGAGCGAACGGG